CUGCUACAAAGGACGGCAAGUAAUCAGCACAGGCAGAACACGAUUUCAGAGUGUAAUUCUAGAUCCAGCUAAACCACUCUCAGCAAUCACCACACAAGAGAGCAUUCAGAGAAACGUGGCAGUAACAAAGGCAGAGGGCGGAGUGAGCGCGUACCGAAGACGGUGUUGGUGGGGUUCAUGGCGACCUGGUUCUUGGCAGCGUCGCCGAUGAGCCGCUCGGUGUCGGUGAAGCCGACAUAGGACGGCGUGGUGCGGUUCCCCUGGUCGUUGGCGAUGAUCUCCACCCGGUCGUGCUGCCACACGCCGACGCACGAGUAGGUGGUGCCGAGGUCGAUCCCGAUCGCCGGACCCUCGCUCUUCGCCAUUGCCACUAGAAACGCUCUCUCGAACGAAAGGAGGAACCAAAACUAGUAGGGGUGGUCGAGAUCUAGAGAAAUCGCAGAGAAUUCGGAU
RNAcentral lists this long non-coding RNA (453 nucleotides) under Zea mays. Its description in RNAcentral is "long non-coding RNA (ZMAY_LNC005137)". The record is from RNAcentral. Lineage: Eukaryota; Viridiplantae; Streptophyta; Magnoliopsida; Poales; Poaceae.